Molecule: long non-coding RNA, 239 nt
Organism: Etheostoma cragini (Arkansas darter)
Lineage: Eukaryota; Metazoa; Chordata; Actinopteri; Perciformes; Percidae
Exons: 5
Source: RefSeq, a predicted model, not a curated record
CCUGUUCAUCCAUGUUGUGUUUUCAGGGCGAGGACGGUCUCAAAGGAACCAAAGGAUACCCCGGACCUGACGGCAACCAUGGCCGAGGGGGGAACUCAGGGCAGCCGGGACCACCAGGCGAGCCUGGAGAACCAGGAUAUGACGGACACAGGGGCGCUAAAGGUCCUCCUGGAACCACCGCCAUGAGUGAGUGCCAGAUGAUCACCUACAUCAAAGACAACUGUGCAUGUGGCCAAGGU